GGGCUGAUCCUCUGUGCCCCACAGCUGCCCAGACGGGAAGAUAGCCCCGAGCUGCCUGACCUGUGACAACUUCUGCCUGCACGGCGGGACCUGCUCCAUCGGGGACAAGACGCAGCUGCCGGAGUGCCUGUGUCCCGUGGGGAUGACGGGGACGCGCUGCGAGGAGUUCAUCGUCAGCGAGCAGCAGAGCAGCCGAACAGCCUCCAUCGUCAUCCCCAUCCUGCUGCUCCUCAUCCUCCUCACCGUGGUGGCUUUUGUCUGGUACAAGUGGAGAAUUAAAGGUGCCAAGGGCUUCCAGCACCAGCGGAUGACCAACGGUGCCAUGAAUGUGGAGAUUGGGAAUCCCACCU
Long non-coding RNA from Empidonax traillii (willow flycatcher), 350 nucleotides. RefSeq lists it as uncharacterized. The record is from RefSeq and is a predicted model, not a curated record. The transcript has 4 exons. Lineage: Eukaryota; Metazoa; Chordata; Aves; Passeriformes; Tyrannidae.